ACGGGUGAGUAACACGUAGGUAACCUACCCUUCAGUGGGGGACAACAGAGGGAAACUUCUGCUAAUACCGCAUACGAUCACGGACUGGGAUGUUCGUGGUGAAAGGAUUUAUUCGCUGAGGGAUGGGCCUGCGGCCUAUCAGGUAGUUGGUGGGGUAAUGGCCUACCAAGCCUGCGACGGGUAGCCGGACUGAGAGGUCGAUCGGCCACACUGGAACUGAGACACGGUCCAGACUCCUACGGGAGGCAGCAGUGGGGAAUAUUGCACAAUGGGGGAAACCCUGAUGCAGCGACGCCGCGUGGAGGAUGACGGCCUUCGGGUUGUAAACUCCUUUUGUCGGGGACAAUGGUGAUGGUACCCGACGAAUAAGCCACGGCUAACUCUGUGCCAGCAGCCGCGGUAAGACAGAGGUGGCGAGCGUUGUUCGGAAUUACUGGGCUUAAAGGGCGCGUAGGCGGUGGUGUAAGUCUAGGGUGGAAUGCUACAGCUCAACUGUAGAGCUGCCUUGGAAACUGCAUUACUUGAGUCGGUGAGGGGGAAGGUGGAAUUCCAGGU
Molecule: ribosomal RNA, 555 nt
Filed under: uncultured bacterium
Lineage: Bacteria
Description: bacterial SSU rRNA
Rfam family: Bacterial small subunit ribosomal RNA
Source: RNAcentral